UACGUAGGGUGCGAGCGUUGUCCGGAAUUAUUGGGCGUAAAGGGCUCGUAGGCGGUUUGUCGCGUCGGGAGUGAAAACCCAGGGCUUAACCCGGGGCUGGCGUCCGAUACGGGCAGACUAGAGGUAUGCAGGGGAGAACGGAAUUCCUGGUGUAGCGGUGAAAUGCGCAGAUAUCAGGAGGAACACCGGUGGCGAAGGCGGUUCUCUGGGCAUUACCUGACGCUGAGGAGCGAAAGUGUGGGGAGCGAACAGG
RNAcentral lists this ribosomal RNA (253 nucleotides) under uncultured bacterium. RNAcentral describes it as "partial 16S ribosomal RNA". It matches the Rfam family "Bacterial small subunit ribosomal RNA", at positions 524 to 776 of the family's 1533-position model. The record is from RNAcentral.